Molecule: non-coding RNA, 624 nt
Organism: Myodes glareolus (Bank vole)
Lineage: Eukaryota; Metazoa; Chordata; Mammalia; Rodentia; Cricetidae
Source: RefSeq, a predicted model, not a curated record
UCAGCAUCUGCUGCCUGAUAUAGAAAACGUCCUAGCUCCUCCCUCUCUCUGGAAUUCCUUAUGUUUGUCUUCCUAAGGUGCUUCCAUUCAUCCUUAAACACCUAGAGUCAAUCGUCACUCAGAGAAGCUUCCUGGGUCUUGACAGACAACACGAUCGUCUGCCUUUCUGUUCUGUAAAGCAUGAAAUAGCACGACUACAGGAGCAUCACUACAUUAUAUUGGAAGAAAUUUAUGCAUUUCUCAGGACUACCAAAAGCCAACAGUUCCUCAACUGGAGGUGGGACUUCAUGUUCACGUCUCCCAGCUCCUUCGGUAGCGUGCAGAGGACCUUCCAGUACCAUGAACAUUAGUCCAUAGGGGUGAAGGCACUAGGCUCAGAGAGCUUCACGAUUAGACCACCAGUCACACUGAACAUGCAUUCAUCUGAGGACGUCUCAACCAGGCCUGAUGCAGCAGAAAACUGUGGAGGAGUACUGUGUGCUCAGCCUGUUUAUCUAGACAGCCCAGGGUCACCAGCCCAUGGGUGGUACUGCCCACGACCGACUGAACUCUCCCUAAUAACUAAUCAAGAAAUUGCCACACAGACUUGUCUACAGGCUGAUCUGAUGGGAUCAUUUUGUCAAA